Molecule: transfer RNA, 76 nt
Filed under: Bacillota bacterium
Lineage: Bacteria; Bacillati; Bacillota
Description: Firmicutes bacterium (anaerobic digester metagenome) tRNA-Glu
Rfam family: tRNA
About the family: Transfer RNA (tRNA) molecules are approximately 80 nucleotides in length. Their secondary structure includes four short double-helical elements and three loops (D, anti-codon, and T loops). Further hydrogen bonds mediate the characteristic L-shaped molecular structure. tRNAs have two regions of fundamental functional importance: the anti-codon, which is responsible for specific mRNA codon recognition, and the 3' end, to which the tRNAs corresponding amino acid is attached (by aminoacyl-tRNA synthetases). tRNAs cope with the degeneracy of the genetic code in two manners: having more than one tRNA (with a specific anti-codon) for a particular amino acid; and 'wobble' base-pairing, i.e. permitting non-standard base-pairing at the 3rd anti-codon position.
Source: RNAcentral
GCCCUCAUCGUCUAGUGGCCUAGGACAUUGCCCUUUCACGGCAAAGGCACGGGUUCAAAUCCCGUUGAGGGUACCA